Ailuropoda melanoleuca (giant panda) is the source of this 511-nucleotide long non-coding RNA. RefSeq lists it as uncharacterized. The record is from RefSeq and is a predicted model, not a curated record. NCBI's taxonomy places the organism in Eukaryota, Metazoa, Chordata, Mammalia, Carnivora, Ursidae. The transcript is spliced from 3 exons.
GCAAAACACAAGCUCGUCUGUUUCUGUUUAACUUCGGGAUAUGGGAGUUUUCCCCACAGUUUCUGUUUGACUGGCCUUUCCCACAACACCUAACCCUCCCGGAUUCCCAGAGUUUCCUCCAACAGCCAAUUCCCCUGGCUGUCUUAUUAUCCUGAGGAGUGAGCUGGUCCUAGGUUCUGCAUACUUCCUGGCCUCAGUGACAGGUACGCCUCAUGGAGAAAGAAUCCAGCAACAAGCCAGGACUGCUGCUGGGGAACCUUCAAGAGGAUAUAACUCACGUCUGGGGCUGGAGGUGGCAAUGGAAGGAAGGAGAAGGUGGUGCUGGCAUCAGACAGGAGACUGGCGCCCCAGAUAUUUUGCAGAGAAACUUUCUCCCAGUCUCUACCCCCACCCCUUGCAGUCCUAUAUUCAACAUCUUCCUUCCAAGGCACCUGGUGCCUCAAGGACUGAGCCCCUGUGGUGUCUGAGCAAGUGGUGUGUUUUUCUUGGUUCAAGCCAUAAGAUGGGAACC